CCAAACUUGGUCAUUUAGAGGAAGUAAAAGUCGUAACAAGGUCUCCGUUGGUGAACCAGCGGAGGGAUCAUUAUAGAGAGCCUAAAAACUCCCUAAAACCACUGUAAACUUACCUGUCUGUUUGCUUCGGCAGGCGGCCCCCGGGGGGGUCGUGGCCCGUAACAGGGCGCCUGCCGGAGGUUUUUAACGCUCUGUUAUACACUGUCAUCUGAGUCCAGCGAGCAAUAAAUCAAAACUUUCAACAACGGAUCUCUUGGUUUGGGCAUCGAUGAAGAACGCAGC
RNAcentral lists this unclassified non-coding RNA (282 nucleotides) under uncultured fungus. RNAcentral's name for it is "partial contains small subunit ribosomal RNA, internal transcribed spacer 1, and 5.8S ribosomal RNA". The stretch from base 1 to 73 matches the Rfam family "Eukaryotic small subunit ribosomal RNA", at positions 1759 to 1831 of the family's 1831-position model. Lineage: Eukaryota; Fungi. The record is from RNAcentral.